UUCUUAUGUUCAUUUUAAUCUACUGUCAGUAUAAGACUGAUUAACUGGUCUAAUCUACGAUUUCGAUAUUCACGUAAUCGUUUGGAAGUCAGGGUUGUAGUAAACUCGUUUAUUUUGAUCUUGUCCAUUUCUGGAACCACGCUUCUGGAAGGCUUAUCGCGUUGUUUCAUUUCCUAACCUAAGUUGCCCCGUAGAACAGUGAUAUUUGUUCCGCGUUAUUAUAAUUUUAAGUUGAUACAAUGUCAUUAACAUAAAUAUUAAAAAGUAUAGGCCCAAAUAUACUUACCUGAGGGACCAAGAGUUGCUGUAGUGUCGACUUGAAUAAGAGAUCCAGUGUAUCGUAGAAAAUGAUGGAUUUUGGAAAUAAAUGUAAAUUGUAUUUAACGGGAUGGAGUUUUGGCUGUGGAAGAAAAGAAUUUUAUCUGCAUACCAAUUCUGUAGUAAAAUUGAUUGACAGAAGAUGAACCAGCCCAACUGAUCAAGCAUCAUGAUAUUGUAAAGACAGUGAUAUAAUUCUAAUGAUUAAAUAUAUAUCAAGAGAAGAACGUAAUAAACAGACAGUGAAUUUGUUGAAUAGAUGAUUAAUAUGAAUGACAAUUAAUAUCACAAGAAGGUUAUGCUUGACAGAGUUAGUUAAGGGAAACCAAUUUGGAUUUCUUUACAACAAAAUAUAUUUCAUAUUCAAUAUUCCCAAAGCAA
Zootermopsis nevadensis is the source of this 699-nucleotide long non-coding RNA. RefSeq lists it as uncharacterized. The record is from RefSeq and is a predicted model, not a curated record. NCBI's taxonomy places the organism in Eukaryota, Metazoa, Arthropoda, Insecta, Blattodea, Termopsidae.